RNA transcript from Zingiber officinale, 1755 nucleotides. It is a transcript of the gene named zinc finger protein ZOP1-like, with no coding region annotated. The record is from RefSeq and is a predicted model, not a curated record. NCBI's taxonomy places the organism in Eukaryota, Viridiplantae, Streptophyta, Magnoliopsida, Zingiberales, Zingiberaceae. The transcript is spliced from 6 exons.
GCGGCGGUUUCUCCGAGUUCGCGCCGUCCGUUCGUCUCACCGUUCCGAAACCCUUGAGCUAAGACUCCGUCUUUUAGAUCUCAAGAUGCUAAUCACGAGAAAGGAGAGUUUGGAGUAGGACAAUCGACCGGAAGGAUAAGGAAGCGGCAGCGUUGACGGCGGAUUCGGCUCGAGAAGAGCCAUUCGAAACUACCAAACGAUGCAACAUCUCCGAGAAACAAUUGCGUAGUCUUCUCUGGUUGUCUCGCGUCUGUAUCAGCUCUCGCUCUUGCAGGACGGACCAGGGGAGGAUUUACGUUGAGGCACGGUAGGGGUGCCCUAAAUAGUUAUUUUUACCAAAAUUACGAGUUCGUAGUUCCCAUUCCGCACCUCAGGUCGCUGCCUAACGGUGAUUGGUCCUCGAUUCCGGCGGAUCAACUGCACUUGAUCGGCUCCUCUUCUGUGGGCUGCGGCCGGGAAUUAAUUCGUGCCCUGCCAAGGAGAGAAUGCUAGUUCCGCCAACUGAGGGAGGCGAUCCUGCCCAUUCCAGGACACAACUGUCCAUUGUAAACCUAGAUAGGAGGCUCUAAUUUCUUUUUUGCAAGAGUUCUUGAGUCGUUUCUUCCCUGCGUCAAUAUCAUUCCUGUUCAUUUCCAACAUGACAGAGUAUUGGGUCAGUCAAGGAAGCAAAUGGUGUGAUUUCUGCAAGAAAUAUAUCUCCAACAAUCCUCUGAGCAUAAGAACCCAUGAACUUGGUCAGCGUCACAAGGACAAUGUCACAAAGAGGCUUGCUACUGUGAGAAAGGAGAGUGCUGCAAAGGAGAAGCAACUAAAAGCAGCUGCACGAGCUCUUAAGGAUAUUGAAACAAAAGCAAAACAAAGUUAUCAGAAGGAUUUGGCUUCUUUGGGCAGAACUGGCCCUUCCACUGGACUGGAUAUAUCCUAACGAGAAAAAUACAGAUAAAUCUCAAUGUUCAUCUGUAACUAAAAGUGGAGACGGGAUUGCAUCCAAUUCCAAAGGUGGUCCUUCCCCAGGGAGGGUCGUUUCCACACUUCUGAACCCCACAAGAGCAGUUAAAGGUGCAGCAUCUUCCAUCGCUGUUAAUAAAAGAAAGAGGGAUGAUGGAAAAGCGAAGGUGAUAACCAAGGAGGAAGCAGAGGCUCUGAAAACAAGGGAGGCUGCAAGGAAAAGAAUGGAAGAGAGGGAGAAGCCAUUCAUGGGCCUCUACAAGUCAUGCUAGCUUUCCUUGGGUGCAAGCAAAUGUGUGCAUGCGAUGGGAAUCUUAUUUUUGGCUCAUUUGGCAUGAUAGUAACAACUACAAAUCCAUCCAACAGGUAUUUCACCUAACGAAUGCCGAUAUCAUCGUCGCCUUCAGUUGGAUGCGUUGGAGCUGUUCUUCUGUCGGUGAGCUGCGGAAGAUGAACAACACCCAUUCUACACUUGUUCACAUUGCUGCAACCCAAACCGGCUGCUGCUUGUUGGGUCACUCUUGUUCUUUAAUAUAAUGCCAACCACCGCAUGCGAGAAGAGGCUGGCUUGUCACCGACCUUGCCAUGGACCCGACCAGAGGACUUGGUGAUCGAAAAUUCAGAUUUCUCUCAAUUGUUCAUCAUUCAACUUUGAAUAUACCUUCAAGUUCAACAUGCCAACUUCGACCACCAUCAAUCUACCAUCCGUGCAAUAAAUGUUUUGCCCUGCAUUUAGUUUUUUUAAUUUUAUUUCCUGUGUUGAUGUUUAGUGAUUGAGUGGAGCAAAAUGUCAUAAUUUAUUCACUA